Potamilus streckersoni is the source of this 72-nucleotide non-coding RNA. NCBI's taxonomy places the organism in Eukaryota, Metazoa, Mollusca, Bivalvia, Unionida, Unionidae. The record is from the annotation of a GenBank genome assembly.
GAUGGCCUAGUGGUUAGAGCGUUUGCCUCGGAUGCGAGAGGUCGAGGGUUCGAACCCCGAGUGUCUGUGGCA